UGAACGCUGGCGGCGUGCCUACUACAUGCAAGUCGAGCGAACAGACGAGGAGCUUGCUCCUCUGACGUUAGCGGCGGACGGGUGAGUAACACGUGGAUAACCUACCUAUAAGACUGGGAUAACUUCGGGAAACCGGAGCUAAUACCGGAUAAUAUAUUGAACCGCAUGGUUCAAUAGUGAAAGACGGUUUUGCUGUCACUUAUAGAUGGAUCCGCGCCGCAUUAGCUAGUUGGUAAGGUAACGGCUUACCAAGGCGACGAUGCGUAGCCGACCUGAGAGGGUGAUCGGCCACACUGGAACUGAGACACGGUCCAGACUCCUACGGGAGGCAGCAGUAGGGAAUCUUCCGCAAUGGGCGGAAGCCUGACGGAGCAACGCCGCGUGGGUGAUGAAGGUCUUCGGAUCGUAAAACUCUGUUAUUAGGGAAGAACAAAUGUGUAAGUAACUAUGCACGUCUUGACGGUACCUAAUCAGAAAGCCACGGCUAACUACGUG
RNAcentral lists this ribosomal RNA (495 nucleotides) under uncultured bacterium. RNAcentral's name for it is "partial 16S ribosomal RNA". It matches the Rfam family "Bacterial small subunit ribosomal RNA", at positions 30 to 507 of the family's 1533-position model. The record is from RNAcentral.